UUGCACGCUGGCGGCAGGCCUCACACAUGCCAGUCGAGCGGAUGAAGGGAGCUUGCUCCUGGAUUCAGCGGCGGACGGGUGAGUAAUGCCUAGGAAUCUGCCUGGUAGUGGGGGAUAACGUCCGGAAACGGGCGCUAAUACCGCAUACGUCCUGAGGGAGAAAGUAGGGGAUCUUCGGACCUCACGCUAUCAGAUGAGCCUAGGUCGGAUUAGCUAGUUGGUGGGGUAAAGGCCUACCAAGGCGACGAUCCGUAACUGGUCUGAGAGGAUGAUCAGUCACACUGGAACUGAGACACGGUCCAGACUCCUACGGGAGGCAGCAGUGGGGAAUAUUGGACAAUGGGCGAAAGCCCGAUCCAGCCAUGCCGCGUGUGUGAAGAAGGUCUUCGGAUUGUAAAGCACUUUAAGUUGGGAGGAAGGGCAGUAAGUUAAUACCUUGCUGUUUUGACGUUACCAACAGAAUAAGCACCGGCUAACUUCGUG
Molecule: ribosomal RNA, 483 nt
Filed under: uncultured bacterium
Lineage: Bacteria
Description: partial 16S ribosomal RNA
Rfam family: Bacterial small subunit ribosomal RNA
Source: RNAcentral